RNAcentral lists this ribosomal RNA (207 nucleotides) under uncultured Bryobacterales bacterium. RNAcentral's name for it is "partial 16S ribosomal RNA". It matches the Rfam family "Bacterial small subunit ribosomal RNA", at positions 568 to 774 of the family's 1533-position model. Lineage: Bacteria; Pseudomonadati; Acidobacteriota; Terriglobia; Bryobacterales. The record is from RNAcentral.
UGCGUAGGCGGUUUUCUAAGUUUGGUGUGAAAUCUCCCGGCUUAACUGGGAGGGUGCGCCGAAGACUGGAAGGCUAGAGUAUGGGAGAGGUAAGCGGAAUUCCUGGUGUAGCGGUGAAAUGCGUAGAUAUCAGGAGGAACACCUGCGGUGUAGACGGCUUACUGGACCAUAACUGACGCUGAGGCACGAAAGCGUGGGUAGCAAACA